AGACCCGAAACCCGGUGAUCUAGCCAUGGGCAGGUUGAAGGUUGGGUAACACUAACUGGAGGACCGAACCGACUAAUGUUGAAAAAUUAGCGGAUGACCUGUGGCUGGGGGUGAAAGGCCAAUCAAACCGGGAGAUAGCUGGUUCUCCCCGAAAGCUAUUUAGGUAGCGCCUCGUGAAUUCAUCUCCGGGGGUAGAGCACUGUUUCGGCUAGGGGGCCAUCCCGGCUUACCAACCCGAUGCAAACUGCGAAUACCGGAGAAUGUUAUCACGGGAGACACACGGCGGGUGCUAACGUCCGUCGUGAAGAGGGAAACAACCCAGACCGCCAGCUAAGGUCCCAAAGUCAUGGUUAAGUGGGAAACGAUGUGGGAAGGCCCAGACAGCCAGGAUGUUGGCUUAGAAGCAGCCAUCAUUUAAAGAAAGCGUAAUAGCUCACUGGUCGAGUCGGCCUGCGCGGAAGAUGUAACGGGGCUAAACCAUGCACCGAAGCUGCGGCAGCGAACGUAUCACCCAAGACAACUUUACGGAGUUGACGAUUGACGGAGCGAAGCGACGUCAAAGCGUUCAUUAAAGUCGAGUUGGCUUAGGGAUACGUUCGUUGGGUAGGGGAGCGUUCUGUAAGCCUGUGAAGGUGUGUCGUGAGGCAUGCUGGAGGUAUCAGAAGUGCGAAUGCUGACAUAAGUAACGAUAAAGCGGGUGAAAAGCCCGCUCGCCGGAAGACCAAGGGUUCCUGUCCAACGUUAAUCGGGGCAGGGUGAGUCGACCCCUAAGGCGAGGCCGAAAGGCGUAGUCGAUGGGAAACGGGUUAAUAUUCCCGUACUUGGUGUUACUGCGAAGGGGGGACGGAGAAGGCUAUGUUGGCCGGGCGACGGUUGUCCCGGUUUAAGCGUGUAGGUGUGUGUUCCAGGUAAAUCCGGUUCACUUUAACACUGAGGCGUGACGACGAGGCACUACGGUGCUGAAGCAACAAAUGCCCUGCUUCCAGGAAAAGCCUCUAAGCAUCAGGUAACAUCAAAUCGUACCCCAAACCGACACAGGUGGUCAGGUAGAGAAUACCAAGGCGCUUGAGAGAACUCGGGUGAAGGAACUAGG
Molecule: ribosomal RNA, 1093 nt
Filed under: Salmonella enterica subsp. enterica serovar Typhimurium
Lineage: Bacteria; Pseudomonadati; Pseudomonadota; Gammaproteobacteria; Enterobacterales; Enterobacteriaceae
Description: partial 23S ribosomal RNA
Rfam family: Bacterial large subunit ribosomal RNA
Source: RNAcentral